This 158-nucleotide unclassified non-coding RNA is filed under the name Amanita kitamagotake. Its description in RNAcentral is "ITS1". Lineage: Eukaryota; Fungi; Basidiomycota; Agaricomycetes; Agaricales; Amanitaceae. The record is from RNAcentral.
UUGGAAUGAAAAGAGGCUGUUGCUAUUGCUGGGCACUAGCAAUGUGCACGCCUUUUGUUUAUUUUUUCUCCCUGUGCACCACUUGUAGACUUUUCCCUGUCUAUGAUUAUAUAUCACAUAACCUUAUGAAUGCCCUUGUAAUAUAUAUGUGUUUACAC